ACAGCGGCUCGCUUCAAGAGCAGGUGAAGCAAUUUGGGACAAUGCUGAAGACGUUUGCUCGCACUGGGCAAUCAGGUGCAGAUCAGACCCUAGUGCUGCGACGUCUUGGAGAGUUUGGCGAUGUUGUACAUAGCAUGGAAAACUAUGCUGCAACAUUUCAGUGCCAAUGUGUCUGUUGGAGAGCUAUCCCUGCCAGGGGAUCUGUUACUCCCCCUAGACACCCAGGAAGAUUUGGUGUUUCUUGACAGCAUUUUGAGGCAGGAUAAGGAGCUCCAGGAACGAUUUCUUCGGUUUUUGGCUAUCAAAUGUGGGAGGGACCUGAAGACAACAGUGUGGAGAAUGCUUCAGAGUAUAUUCUCUAAUAACCUUGCCGUUAAUACAACCUGGACUGGUAUAGGGGAUAAAACAUGUUUUAGAGACCUGUUCCUGAAGACCAUUGUUCAAAGGGCCCUCCGGAAGAACCCGGCAACCCAGGAUGACACUGAUGAGGCGGUCCAGGUUAACGUUACACGUUACCUGAAAGGAGCAUCAGACCGUGAAGGAGGAAAAAGCUGCACAGCUGAGAAGGACCCACAGCCGACCCCUUAAACCUAGGCUGACUACUGACACCCCAGCAUCACUGAACUGGAACACUUUCUUUAUCCUGCAUUCAGUAACAUCAAGAAGCCAGAAGUGCCAGACUACACUCACCAAAUCCACCCUGUUUUUUUUGUAUUUUAACUUUAGUAUUGGCUUAUUUCAUUCCGUCUUAACGAUUCUAUUAUAGUUUGUAAAUCCUAUUUCAUACCUGUUACUUGAUAUUGCACAUUAACUAGUACCAACAUUCUACUUUCAUUUCAUCACUGUGCUUAACUGUUAUUCAAUUAAUAAUAGCUUGGAAAUACUAUUUCGUACCUCUGAUACUUGAUAUUGCACAUUACCUGGUACCAAAUAUUCUACUUUGUUUUUAACAUCAGCAUUUUUCAUUCCAUCACAGUGCUUAACUAUUAUUCUAUUGUUAAAUAUAGCUUGUAAAUCCUUGUGCCACAGGUCAGCAUUGCAGUUAUAAUGGUCUGUUCUACUACUGUUUUUACCUCUGUAUUUUUAUAUAUGUAUGUCAAGUUUUGUUUAUCACAGAUACAAGAGACACAUCUUAAUGCAGCAUGGUGUAAAUAUUGUGCUCCAGGUCAGCAAUGCCAUUAUAAUGGAAUAUUCUACUCUAGAGCUUUACUCAAUGGCUUGAAAAUGUGAUGUUCUACCUCGUUUUAUUUGGUAUCCUGCACAUUCUUUGGUACCAAAUAUCCUCAUUACUUAUGUUUACUGGUAAUUAUUUUCAUCCCAGAGCUGACCUCUAUAUUAUUAACAAUUAUUGUGUUUGUGUUAUAAUUUGCUUGUAUCGCUGUUCUUUUUUUUUAACCAAC
Long non-coding RNA from Esox lucius (northern pike), 1400 nucleotides. The record is from Ensembl. NCBI's taxonomy places the organism in Eukaryota, Metazoa, Chordata, Actinopteri, Esociformes, Esocidae.